GAUGAACGCUGGCGGCGUGCCUAAUACAUGCCAGUCGAGCGAACGGACGAGAAGCUUGCUUCUCUGAUGUUAGCGGCGGACGGGUGAGUAACACGUGGAUAACCUACCUAUAAGACUGGGAUAACUUCGGGAAACCGGAGCUAAUACCGGAUAAUAUUUUGAACCGCAUGGUUCACAAGUGAAAGACGGUCUUGCUGUCACUUAUAGAUGGAUCCGCGCUGCAUUAGUUAGUUGGUAAGGUAACGGCUUACCAAGGCAACGAUGCAUAGCCGACCUGAGAGGGUGAUCGGCCACACUGGAACUGAGACACGGUCCAGACUCCUACGGGAGGCAGCAGUAGGGAAUCUUCCGCAAUGGGCGAAAGCCUGACGGAGCAACGCCGCGUGAGUGAUGAAGGUCUUCGGAUCGUAAAACUCUGUUAUUAGGGAAGAACAUAUGUGUAAGUAACUGUGCACAUCUUGACGGUACCUAAUCAGAAAGCCACGGCUAACUACGUG
RNAcentral lists this ribosomal RNA (497 nucleotides) under uncultured bacterium. RNAcentral describes it as "partial 16S ribosomal RNA". It matches the Rfam family "Bacterial small subunit ribosomal RNA", at positions 28 to 507 of the family's 1533-position model. The record is from RNAcentral.